AACCGAGAAAUGGAUUUGAACUCCUGAUUGGAGGAGUUGUCGCAGCGGAAGAAGAUCAAAACUCUAUAAACCAUAGGUUUCGGUGUUGGAAUGGAAGGAGAUCNAACGAACCCUAGUUUGAAGUGUUGUUCGAUGGAGAAUCUAGAUCUGGUCAUUUAGGCGACUUUAAUCGGUGAAAUAGGCCGAUUAAUNGGUGGAAAACUCAGAUUAAACGGUAGAAAUGGAAGAUCUAUGGAUGGAAAGGUUUUUGUUCGGUGAGAUCGAGGGUAAACUAAAAAUGAUGAAGAAAACCUAAGUCUGAAUGCAGAUGUUCGGUGAUACAGGCAGAGGAGAUGAAGACAAUGGUGUUUCUGUGAGAGAGACGACACUUACGAAGGAGAGUUGACGGAUCUGUGAGGAGGAAUGGAGUAGAGGCNCUGGAUCGGGAAACCCUAGCAGAGGCUUUGGUCAGAGGAAUGGAGGAAAUGACAUAACGUUUCUGAUUCGAGAGAGGCAACGAAUGAAUGAGAAGUGAUGUGCUGUUGGUGAGGUGAAAGUGGACGCAUGGAUGAGUGUAGCUGACGCCACUCGUCUGAGACUGAUUGGAGUAAUGGUGAUGGAAUGUGAUGAAAGAGAAGUCUGAUGUGGAAAAGUGAAAGAAUGGUAAGUGUGAGAUGGAAGGUGGCUAGAGGAGAUCCUUUGGGAUUCUCUAGCCUUGACUUUCAAGGUAGAAUUGCUCUGGAGUAAUUCUUAACAGUAAACAAUUCAAUUAUCUCAAAAGUGAUUACAAGAUGUGUUAGCAU
RNAcentral lists this long non-coding RNA (782 nucleotides) under Vigna radiata. RNAcentral describes it as "long non-coding RNA (VRAD_LNC009924)". Lineage: Eukaryota; Viridiplantae; Streptophyta; Magnoliopsida; Fabales; Fabaceae. The record is from RNAcentral.